AACAUGUUGUCCAAUUGUCUUUUCUUUAUUUAUUCCUCAGCCCCUUCCUGGAGACCCUGUCGGCUGUCUGAACUGGCCUGGUUACUCUCCUAAUCUGCAAGGGCAUUUGAAAUAGAUCAUGAGAGGUAGCACAGCAAUUUUCAUUCCAUCAUAUCAGGUGAAAUUGCUGUCUCUGGAAAAGAAAAGAAAAUUUAUAUCUGGUAUGAAAUCUUCCAUCGUUUAGAGCAAGUAUCAAUCUUUACUUUCAAUCCAUUUGCCACAGUCAGCCAGCAUCACUCAAAACAAAUGAAGCUGUUCUGUAAAUUCUUCACAGUGUAAAAUGAACUCUUUAACUUAUUGCUGGGCAUUAAAAUGAACUUUCCAAUAAAAAUACCGACUAGGUAUCCAUUGUAAGCCUCC
RNAcentral lists this long non-coding RNA (399 nucleotides) under Rattus norvegicus (Norway rat). RNAcentral describes it as "long non-coding RNA NONRATT033048". The record is from RNAcentral. Lineage: Eukaryota; Metazoa; Chordata; Mammalia; Rodentia; Muridae.